UCCUAAAAAGCUAGCCCGCCCCUUAGAAAAACAACCCCCUCUAAAUUAAACCACCCGCAGAGCAAGCAACAAACCAUUUUACCUCCCCAGUACCCGGGCGACAGAAAAGGAAAACCGGAGCAAUAGAGAAAGUACCGCAAGGAAAAGCUGAAAGAGAAAUGAAAUAACUACCCCAAGCUACAAAAAGCAGAGAUGACCCCUCGUACCUUUUGCAUCAUGACCUAGCCAGUACCCCUGAGCGUAGAGAAUUUUAGUUCAGCCCCCCGAAACUAGACGAGCUACUUCAAGACAGCCUAUGUUGGGCAAACCCGUCUCUGUCGCAAAAGAGUGGGAAGAUCUUCAAGUAGAGGUGACAAACCUACCGAGCCUAGUAAUAGCUGGUUGUCUGAGAAGUGAAUAUAAGUUCAGCCUCCCUAUUCCCCACGUCCAAGACAUCUAUGUCCUCCCAGACUAAAAGUGAACGAGAGAGUUAGUCAAAGAGGGUACAGCCCCUUUGAAAAAGGACACAACCUCCCCGGGAGACAAAAGAUCAUAAUUAACCUAAGGAGCCUUGUUUUAGUGGGCCUAAGAGCAGCCACCUAAGAAGAAAGCGUUAAAGCUCAUACAAACUCCGACCCCUAAUACCGAACCCAACUCUUUACUCCCCGACCACUAUCAGACCCUCCCACGAACCGUGGGAAAGACCCUGCUAGGAUGAGUAAUAAGAGGGACUGCCCCUCUCCUCCACACAUGUGUACGUCGGAACGGACCUACCACCGACAACUAACGAUCCCCCACUCGAGGGAAAUGUAGCACUGCCCGAAUAGCCAGAAAACUUAACAUGAUAAACCGUUAACCCAACACAGGUGUGCACGCCCGGAAAGACUUAGAUAAAGGGAAGGAACUCGGCAAACACAAGCCUCGCCUGUUUACCAAAAACAUCGCCUCUUGCAAAACGAACGAAUAAGAGGUCCCGCCUGCCCUGUGACUAUAUGUUUAACGGCCGCGGUAUUUUGACCGUGCGAAGGUAGCGCAAUCACUUGUCUUUUAAAUGGAGACCUGUAUGAAAGGCAUCACGAGGGCUUAGCUGUCUCCCCUUUAAAGUCAAUGAAAUUGAUCUCCCCGUGCAGAAGCGGGGAUAUGCUCGUAAGACGAGAAGACCCUAUGGAGCUUAAGAUAAAAGGCGAGUCAUGUCAAACACCCCUUCAAAGGAAGUUGAACGAAAUGAUACCCGCUGGAAUGUCUUCGGUUGGGGCGACCGCGGGGAAAGACAAAACCCCCACAUGGACCAGGGCCACUAUAGCCCUAAAACCUAGACCCACAGGUCAAGUCAACAGUAAAUCUGACUACCAAAGAGCCGGCAAUGCCGAUCAACGGACCGAGUUACCCUAGGGAUAACAGCGCAAUCCCCUCCCAGAGCCCUUAUCGACGAGGGGGUUUACGACCUCGAUGUUGGAUCAGGACAUCCUAAUGGUGCAGCCGCUAUUAAGGGUUCGUUUGUUCAACGAUUAAAGUCCUACGCGAUCUGAGUUCAGACCGGAGUAAUCCAGGUCAGUUUCUAUCUACACUUUGAUCUUUUCUAGUACGAAAGGACCGAAAAGAAGUGGCCCAUGUCAACGACACGCCACAUCCCCUACUAAUGAAUACAAAUAAAAUAGAAGGUGGACAAAAUGCCGUGCCCAAAAAUAGGGCUU
RNAcentral lists this ribosomal RNA (1673 nucleotides) under Lampanyctus macdonaldi (rakery beaconlamp). RNAcentral's name for it is "16S rRNA". It matches the Rfam family "Bacterial large subunit ribosomal RNA". Lineage: Eukaryota; Metazoa; Chordata; Actinopteri; Myctophiformes; Myctophidae. The record is from RNAcentral.